Molecule: ribosomal RNA, 515 nt
Filed under: uncultured bacterium
Lineage: Bacteria
Description: partial 16S ribosomal RNA
Rfam family: Bacterial small subunit ribosomal RNA
Source: RNAcentral
GAUGAACGCUGACGGCGUGCCUAAUACAUGCAAGUCGAGCGAAUGGAUUAAGAGCUUGCUCUUAUGAAGUUAGCGGCGGACGGGUGAGUAACACGUGGGUAACCUGCCCAUAAGACUGGGAUAACUCCGGGAAACCGAGGCUAAUACCGGAUAACAUUUUGAACCGCAUGGUUCGAAAUUGAAAUGCGGCUUCGGCUGUCACUUAUGGAUGGACCCGCGUCGCAUUAGCUAGUUGGUGAGGUAACGGCUCACCAAGGCAGCGAUGCGUAGCCGACCUGAGAGGGUGAUCGGCCACACUGGGACUGAGACACGGCCCAGACUCCUACGGGAGGCAGCAGUAGGGAAUCUUCCGCAAUGGACGAAAGUCUGACGGAGCAACGCCGCGUGAGUGAUGAAGGCUUUCGGGUCGUAAAACUCUGUUGUUAGGGAAGAACAAGUGCUAGUUGAAUAAGCUGGCACCUUGACGGUACCUAACCAGAAAGCCACGGCUAACUACGUGCCAGCCGCCGCAGUAA